CGGACGGGUGAGUAAUGUCUGGGAAACUGCUUGAUGGAGGGGGAUAACUACUGGAAACGGUAGCUAAUACCGCAUAACGUCGCAAGACCAAAGAGGGGGACCUUCGGGCCUCUUGCCAUCGGAUGUGCCCAGAUGGGAUUAGCUAGUAGGUGGGGUAACGGCUCACCUAGGCGACGAUCCCUAGCUGGUCUGAGAGGAUGACCAGCCACACUGGGACUGAGACACGGUCCAG
Molecule: ribosomal RNA, 232 nt
Filed under: uncultured bacterium
Lineage: Bacteria
Description: partial 16S ribosomal RNA
Rfam family: Bacterial small subunit ribosomal RNA
Source: RNAcentral